This is a non-coding RNA of Pelobates cultripes (western spadefoot toad), 1358 nucleotides long. The record is from the annotation of a GenBank genome assembly. Lineage: Eukaryota; Metazoa; Chordata; Amphibia; Anura; Pelobatidae.
UGAUUGUUCGAUGAUCACGCUUCAGAAGCUUUGCAAUUUUAAGAGUGCUGCAUCCCUCUGCAAGAUAUCUCACUAUUUUUGACUUUUCUGAGCCUGUCAAGUCCUUCUUUUGACCCAUUUUGCCAAAGGAAAGGAAGUUGCCUAAUAAUUAUGCACACCUGAUAUAGGGUGUUGAUGUCAUUAGACCACACCCCUUCUCAUUACAGAGAUGCACAUCACCUAAUAUGCUUAAUUGGUAGUAGGCUUUCGAGCCUAUACAGCUUGGAGUAAGACAACAUGCAUAAAGAGGAUGAUGUGGUCAAAAUACUAAUUUGCCUAAUAAUUCUGCACUCCCUGUAUAUCCCCAGCUGGCCAAUUUAGAGACUUUUCAUCUGCAUUUAGUAAGUGAUGCCAUUCUCAUAGCUGGAAGUAUUUAAAUUAAUUCCUAUCCAAUGAUUUUUGUCUUUGUUUUUUUCAUUGCUUUUACUGCUUUUGCAAAAGUAAUAAUUCCUUUUAAGACACUCCCCAAAUUGUAGGAAAAUAAUGUUCACUUUUUACAUGUUAAGCUGCUUCCUCUCCAUCUCAACCACAUCUUCUUGAGAUUGAAAGCAAACAGGGAGUUUGUCUGACACAGUCUCCCCUAGAAACAAACCAUGCAGAUGACACAAGAGAAGCCAAUGCAUCAGUCAUAACUGGUACGGCGGCAAAAAAGCACUGCGUAACUUGAGAAAUGUUCUCAAAAUCCCAAAGGCUACAUUACUAAGCUUUAAGAUUUUUUUUAAAAAUGUAAAAUCAUUUUACAGAUUAUUGGCUCUUUAAUUAAUGUGUUAACUUUCCCAAAAAGUAACUAAUGAUAGUUUGCAAUCCUAUAAUUGAACAUAUGUGCCUAUUUCAGAAUGCUCUUUAAGAAAACAAACCAUGUAGAUGGUCUGGGGCCUGGUGUAGCAUAACUCUCAUUCUGAUUAGUAGAGCUGCGUCACCUGCUGACCAUUCCAGGUACUCUUUUUCAAAUAAAUAUUAGAUAUGGUCCAAAGACCAGAGACAGUGGCAGAGUUAUUCUCUGUGCUAUGCUAUAUUUUAUCUUAACAGUUUCCCUCAUGCUGUGUGGUACCUGCAUCGCGACUCUACAGCCUUUAAGGGAUUUCCUUUAUUGGCCCAAACGUUUUGAUUAAUCCAGCGCAUUAGGUAAAAGCUGGAUUGUGGUGCUCAGGGGUAUAAACACAAAAAAUGAUAUGAUAAUAAACUGUUUAAUUCAUGUUUGGUUUUCAUUGUGUUGAUUUUGUGUGUUGUGUUUUUUUUUGUUUGUUUUUUAAAGAUCCUUGUAUACUUUGACAGUGGGAUUUCCUCCAUUAAAAAAAAAAAACCAUCAAGUACACAAA